GCCGUUGUUUCUUGGAUCUCUUCUCUACUUGGAUAACUGUGGUAAUUCUAGAGCUAAUACAUGCAACCAAGCUCCGAUCGUGAGUGACGAGCGCUUUUAUUAGACCAAAACCAUCCGGCCUCUGGCCGUUCUUUGGUGACUCUGAAUAACCUAGCAGAUCGCAUGGGCUUGUCCCGGCGACAAAUCUUUCAAGUGUCUGCCUUAUCAACUUUCGAUGGUAGUUUAUGUGACUACCAUGGUUGUGACGGGUAACGGAGGAUCAGGGUCUGACUCCGGAGAGGGAGCCUGAGAAACGGCUACCACUUCUAAGGAAGGCAGCAGGCGCGCAAAUUACCCAUUCUCAGAACGAGGAGGUAGUGACGAAAAAUACCAAGGUGAGGCUCAUUGAGUUUCGCCAUUGGAAUGAGUACAAUCUAAAUCUUUUAACGAGGAUCUAGUGGAGGGCAAGUCUGGUGCCAGCAGCCGCGGUAAUUCCAGCUCCGCAAGUGUAUUCCUAUACUGUUGCGGUUAAAAAGCUCGUAGUUGGAUCUGAGUGUUUAGCGCUUGGUGCAGUUCUGCUGUUACUGAGUGCGGCACAUAAUCGCCAAUUGGUUGCCAUUGUUUCCUUAACUGGUGAUGGUGGUUGACUGUUGGCAUGUUUACUUUGAACAAAUCAGAGUGCUCAAUACGGGCGUUUCGCUUGUAUGGUCUUUGCAUGGAA
RNAcentral lists this ribosomal RNA (700 nucleotides) under Diplolaimelloides delyi. Its description in RNAcentral is "SSU rRNA". It matches the Rfam family "Eukaryotic small subunit ribosomal RNA", at positions 109 to 814 of the family's 1831-position model. Lineage: Eukaryota; Metazoa; Nematoda; Chromadorea; Monhysterida; Monhysteridae. The record is from RNAcentral.